UAAAUAUUAAAACAAUGAUCAAUAAAUAAUAUAAUUAAUAAUUUGUUAUAGAAAUGAAAAUAUUUUCCUAAUUCAUCUAAGUAUAUGAAUCGUAUCAGUAUAAACUAAUUUUUUUAAAAUUAAAAUUAUUAUUUAAUUAUAAAGUAAUAUAGUAAUUAUUUAAAGAAACACAUCAAUAUAAUGUUUAUGUAUGAAAAACAAACAUGUAUACUAAAUUUAUUUUAGCUGCUAAGAAAAAAAACAGUAACAGCUAAAAACUAGAAUACAAAUAAAAAAAAUUAAAAAGAAAAAAAAGGAAUCGAGUACCAGGUCGAGGUUCAAAGGAAAGGGAUGAGAGUGAGAAUUUUACGGAUUUUUUAUUGAUGUUGAUUCGAAUUUUAUGAAAAAGGAAAAGAAACCAACAAAUCAAUCAAACUUCAAAAUGACUUUCUUUUUGUUCUGGUUAUGUUGGUUUCAUAUCGUUUUUGUUGAUGAUCUUGACUUGACGGCGAUGUUGGUCUAAAGGAGGCGGCUGCCGCAUACAAAUGCAAAAUUGGUUAAAAUAGCCCAACAGUUAUUUGGAGUUUGAACCGAGCCCAAUAAAUACAAGUCGAUAUUAAAAAGUAAUUAAAAAAGAAAUGAAUUCUAAGUUAAAUCAUUUUAAGUAAUAGUACACAAAAUGAAAUGGAGAAGGAGAAGGAGACGGUACCUGUAGCUGAAUAUUGCUUCUUUUGGGUGAUCGAUCGAUUUACAGUACUAUAGUUUGAUAGUUGAAGAAGGAAAAAGAAAUGUAAAUGUGAAAGAGUGUGCUGAUUAGCUGUCAUUCUUUCCCAUGCCGAAUGCUGUUAAUAGUUUCUUUCCUGAUGGUUGAUUUGUUUUCAUUUUUUUCCCGUAUUUGAUGAGCUUAAUAGGCAAUUAUUGAUGUUGCUUCUUAUGUCCCACCUCCUCUUUCAGAAGAGCAAAAGAAGAAAAUAGCCAAAUUGAGAGCAGAAACGGCUUAAAAGUAAGAAGGUUCUUUCAGACAAGAAGGCUUUUCGACGAAGUUAAGGUCAGUUGUCUAACUGUGGUGUUUUUGCAGGCAGUGCUUGCUCUUGAGCGCAAGUAUUGGCAGGGUUCUUAGAAGCACAACGUCUCCAAUUGAACUCUCUUGAACUCUCUGGACUUGAUUAUUCUUUUGGGAUUAUGUUACAGUGAGUUUUGCUAGAAGUGGUGGAUCCGGAGGUCAAAAUGUGAAUAAAGUGAACACCAAGGUGGAUAUGCGCUUCAAUGUUAAAGAUGCAUAUUGGCUGACUGACAGGAUUAGAGACAGGAUUAUGCAAAUGGAAAAGAACCGGAUCAACAAGGAUGGUGAGAUCGUGAUCUCUUCAACAAAGACUAGAACACAAAAGUUACUUUCUGCCCCUUUCCUUAUUUUAAUACCCACUAAUGCUUAUUUGAUGUUUAAAGUAGGUUGUUUAAUCCUUUUGCUUUUUUUCUUCGGGGUAACAUUGAAGAUGCUUUAGCAAAACUCCAGGUAACUAAGACUUUGAUUACUUACGACUUUUUAAUGCUAAAGUCUACUUGCUUCCUAUUGUCUGGUAUAAGUGGUGAAAAGGAGGCUUAAGUAUUAGCCAUGCUGUGUCUGAAAUGUAAAUGUGAAAGAGUGUGCCGAUUAGCUAAUAAUUUAGCCGUCAUUCUUUCCCAUGCCGGAUGUUGUUAAUAGUUCCUUUCCUGAUGGUUGAUUUGUUUUCAUUUUUCCCCCCCUACUUGAUGAGUUUAAUAGGCAAUUAUUGAUGUUGCUUCUUAUGUCCCACCUCCUCCUUCAGAAGAGCAGAAGAAGAAAAUAGCCAAAUUGAGAGCAGAAACGGCUUAAAAGUAAGAAGGUUCUUUCAGAUAAGAAGGCUUUUCGAAGAAGUAGGAACAGUUGGGACUG
RNA transcript from Ricinus communis (castor bean), 1891 nucleotides. It is a transcript of the gene named peptidyl-tRNA hydrolase ICT1, mitochondrial, with no coding region annotated. The transcript is spliced from 6 exons. The record is from RefSeq and is a predicted model, not a curated record. NCBI's taxonomy places the organism in Eukaryota, Viridiplantae, Streptophyta, Magnoliopsida, Malpighiales, Euphorbiaceae.